RNAcentral lists this ribosomal RNA (406 nucleotides) under uncultured bacterium. RNAcentral describes it as "partial 16S ribosomal RNA". It matches the Rfam family "Bacterial small subunit ribosomal RNA", at positions 30 to 526 of the family's 1533-position model. The record is from RNAcentral.
AUUGAACGCUGGCGGCAGGCCUAACACAUGCAAGUCGAACGAGUGGCGGACGGGUGAGUAAUGUCGUGGAAACUGCCUGAUGGAGGGGGAUAACUACUGGAACCGGUAGCUAAUACCGCAUACCAUCGGAUGUGCCCAGAUUGGAUUAGCUAGUAGGUGGGGUAAAGGCUCACCUAGGCGACGAUCCCUAGCUGGUCUGAGAGGGUGACCGGCCACACUGGAACUGAGACACGGUCCAGACUCCUACGGGAGGCAGCAGGGGGGAAUAUUGCACAAUGGGCGAAAGCCUGAUGCAGCCAUGCCGCGUGAAUGAAGAAGGCCUUCGGGUUGUAAAGUACUGUUAGCGGGGAGGCGGUACCUGCACAAGAAGCACCGGCUAACUCCGUGCCAGCAGCCGCGGUAAUAC